RNAcentral lists this ribosomal RNA (494 nucleotides) under uncultured bacterium. RNAcentral's name for it is "partial 16S ribosomal RNA". It matches the Rfam family "Bacterial small subunit ribosomal RNA", at positions 31 to 507 of the family's 1533-position model. The record is from RNAcentral.
GAACGCUGGCGGCGUGCCUAAUACAUGCAAGUCGAGCGAACGGACGAGAAGCUUGCUUUUCUGAUGUUAGCGGCGGACGGGUGAGUAACACGUGGAUAACCUACCUAUAAGACUGGGAUAACUUCGGGAAACCGGAGCUAAUACCGGAUAAUAUUUUGAACCGCAUGGUUCAAAAGUGAAAGACGGUCUUGCUGUCACUUAUAGAUGGAUCCGCGCUGCAUUAGCUAGUUGGUAAGGUAACGGCUUACCAAGGCAACGAUGCAUAGCCGACCUGAGAGGGGGAACCGGCAACCUGGAACUGGAACAACGUCCAGGACCCUAAGGGAGGGCGGAGGUGGGAAACUUCCGCAAUGGGCGAAAGCCUGACGGAGCAACGCCGCGUGAGUGAUGAAGGUCUUCGGAUCGUAAAACUCUGUUAUUAGGGAAGAACAUAUGUGUAAGUAACUGUGCACAUCUUGACGGUACCUAAUCAGAAAGCCACGGCUAACUACGUG